RNAcentral lists this long non-coding RNA (164 nucleotides) under Phascolarctos cinereus (koala). Its description in RNAcentral is "Non-coding RNA LOC285194 (ENSPCIG00000014409.2)". It matches the Rfam family "Non-coding RNA LOC285194". Rfam says of the family: Deletion of this gene is associated with poor survival of osteosarcoma patients. Lineage: Eukaryota; Metazoa; Chordata; Mammalia; Diprotodontia; Phascolarctidae. The record is from RNAcentral.
AGAUACUCAGAGGAAAAAAAAAAAAGCCGAGGCUGCUUCAAAAGCAAAAUAAACAAACAGAACCAGAGGGUAUAAGUCCCUUUGCUUCAAAGAAAGCCAAACAGAGAAAACUAAGCCAGUCUCCUUAGGGAAAACAGCUGCCCAUCAACCAAGGAGGAGUUUAU